This 484-nucleotide ribosomal RNA is filed under the name uncultured bacterium. RNAcentral's name for it is "bacterial SSU rRNA". It matches the Rfam family "Bacterial small subunit ribosomal RNA", at positions 28 to 524 of the family's 1533-position model. The record is from RNAcentral.
GACGAACGCUGGCGGCGUGCCUAACACAUGCAAGUCGUGCGAGAACGUCUCCUUCGGGAGAUUAGUAAAGCGGCGCACGGGUGAGUAACGCGUAAGUUACCUGCCCUUUGGACUGGGACAACUCCGGGAAACCGGGGCUAAUACCAGAUGAUGUCGAAAGACCAAAGCCUUCGGGCGCCAAAGGAUGAGCUUGCGUCCCAUUAGCUUGUUGGUAGGGUAAUGGCCUACCAAGGCUGCGAUGGGUAGCUGGUCUGAGAGGAUGAUCAGCCACAUUGGGACUGAGACACGGCCCAGACUCCUACGGGGAGGCAGCAGUGAGGAAUAUUGCGCAAUGGACGAAAGUCUGACGCAGCAACGCCGCGUGCAGGAUGACGGCCCUCCGGGUUGUAAACUGCUGUAGCAGGGGAAUAACACUCGCCUUUGGCGGGUUGAAGGUACCCUGAAAGUAAGCUCCGGCUAACUACGUGCCAGCAGCCGCGGUAAU